UCCUACUGGACUUGCCGACGGGCCUCGAUGGAGUCUUCCAGUUGGCGGUGCAUCUCCUUCAGUGAGGUGACGUCGUCCCCUCCGCUGCCGCCGUCGGUCUAGGAGUCUAUGGCGAAAUGGGGUCAGUGUGGAGUGGGACAGAAGGAACGGAGAUGCUUGAGGAGUUUGAUGAGUGCUGGGUCACUGGGAGGGGGGUCGGCCUAGACCCCUUCCUCUGUUUCAGUUUUAAGAAG
RNAcentral lists this long non-coding RNA (233 nucleotides) under Elaeis guineensis (African oil palm). Its description in RNAcentral is "long non-coding RNA (EGUI_LNC078935)". The record is from RNAcentral. Lineage: Eukaryota; Viridiplantae; Streptophyta; Magnoliopsida; Arecales; Arecaceae.